UACGGAGGGAGCUAGCGUUGUUCGGAAUUACUGGGCGUAAAGCGCGCGUAGGCGGCUUUGUAAGUUAGAGGUGAAAGCCCGGAGCUCAACUCCGGAACUGCCUUUAAAACUGCAUCGCUUGAAUUCAGGAGAGGUGAGUGGAAUUCCGAGUGUAGAGGUGAAAUUCGUAGAUAUUCGGAAGAACACCAGUGGCGAAGGCGGCUCACUGGACUGGUAUUGACGCUGAGGUGCGAAAGCGUGGGGAGCAAACAGG
This 253-nucleotide ribosomal RNA is filed under the name uncultured bacterium. RNAcentral's name for it is "partial 16S ribosomal RNA". It matches the Rfam family "Bacterial small subunit ribosomal RNA", at positions 524 to 776 of the family's 1533-position model. The record is from RNAcentral.